RNAcentral lists this ribosomal RNA (253 nucleotides) under uncultured bacterium. Its description in RNAcentral is "partial 16S ribosomal RNA". It matches the Rfam family "Bacterial small subunit ribosomal RNA", at positions 524 to 776 of the family's 1533-position model. The record is from RNAcentral.
UACGGGGGGGGUAAGCGUUGUUCGGAAUUACUGGGCGUAAAGGGCUCGUAGGCGGCCAACUAAGUCAGACGUGAAAUCCCUCAGCUUAACUGGGGAACUGCGUCUGAUACUGGAUGGCUUGGAUUCGGGAGAGGAAUGCGGAAUUCCAGGUGUAGCGGUGAAAUGCGUAGAUAUCUGGAGGAACACCGGUGGCGAAGGCGGCCCGCUGGGCAGUGGCUGACGCUGAGGCGCGACAGCGUGGGGAGCAAACAGG